AUUUCGGCAGAGCUGAAACGGGCAGAAGUUGGGCUGCAGUGGGUGAAAGGAGGAAGUCAGACUGGGCCUGACCACCUCCUCUACUCCCCGGCCCCAGGGGCCUCGGCCCUUGCCCAUUGAUCCCUCUUGCCCAGGCAGUAGCAUGGCUCACUCCCUCCUUCCCUUCAAGUCUCUGUAGAAAUGUCACCUCCCUCAGGAGAGCUUUCCUGACUGCUGCCCCACGCCUGACCACAUUUUUAUUAUUCUUCUGAGUACAUGUCGCUCCCUGAUGUUGGGUUUCGGUUUGGUUUUGUCUCUGCUAUGAGCACAGAAGUCCCUGCCGACAGGGGCCAUCUCUGUACAACCCUCGGCUAUAUCCCCUGGGACACAGGUAUGUGAGGAGCAGGUGAGCCUUGAGAAUAACACUAAGAAGAGUGAAUGAAUAUCAACAAUCCGUGCCGGCAAAGCUCCCUCCUUAUGAAGGCUUGUGCUCCUCAUGGCUUCACUUGAAGCCCACUGACUGCGCUAACUCAUCAUUCCUCACUACAACGCUAACAAGGACCCUGAAGCCUCAGGACUGUCAACCACAAAAUCCUGGAGUCACAGGCUCUGAUAUGUAGCUCAGAGGAUUCUAGAACCAUAGGACCCAGAAAUUCAGCCCACAGAAUCCUAGCACCAGGGGACUCAGAUCUGCAACCCACGGAAUCUUCAGAGACCACAGCAUGCAACACACGAAAUCCUGGAACCAUGGGAAGCAGAAGCGAUGCCCACGGUUUUCUAGAACCAAAGGAGGGGAACGAAGCCGUGGGUUCUCAGCACUUAGCGCUAGGAGGAUGGCCGAGGAGCUCACCUCAUUCAAGUGCCCUCCCUUUCAAAGACGAGCGAGUGGGGCCCUCUGAGCCUCCAAGGCCGCCCUGCCAGCGCCCCUCCGCGACCGUCAGGGGUGAUGGGAGGUCUGAGUCCCACAGAAGCUGGCGGGUGGGGAUGCCCGGAGGGGGAUACCCAAGCGGGGGAAGCCCUUGGAGCCCCCGGGACCCUCGGUGCGCAGGCGCACUCACCCGCGGUAUCGUACAGGUUCAGGGUCACCUCCUUGCUGCCCACAGUCACGCUGGCCGUGUAUUUCUCGAACACCGAUGGGGCGUAGUCCUGUCGGAGAGGGGUCGGCUGGUUCUCACGGGGGCCCGGUCACCCUAUGCAGCUCAGCUCCCCUCGCCCGGCUGGACUCGAACUCCCGAGGGGGCGCCCCGGGGUGGCGACUGCCUCUCCCCGCGCAGGACGCCGGGGCGCCGGGGUCCAGGCUCGAGGCGAGGGGUGACGGCCGUCCGUCGCCCCCGGGGGCCCAAGCCCGUCUCCCCACCGCAGUCCGGCCCCCAUCACUCCCGCGGCGGCCUCACCUCAGGGAAGGAGCCCUGGCUGUACACCAUAAGCAGCGAUGUCUUGCCGCAGCCGCCGUCGCCCACGAUCACGAUCUUCAGCUCCUUCCUGCCCGGGCCCGGGCCCGGGGCCCCGGGGGCGUCCAUAGCCGCGAGCAGCCCGCACUGGCAGCCGCGCGGGGCAGACCGCGGGGGCUGAACAAUCCGGGGCGGGGCCAGAGAGACCCCGCCCCCUGGGUGCCGGCAGCGCCUCCGCCAGGCAGCCGCCCGGGCCCACCUCCCGGCCUGUUUUCCUUUCCGUUAGGGUCCUGGCCCGCGCAGUUCACCUUUCAUUCCCGGGGAAACAGACAACCGGGAAGCGGGGGCGCUCGGUCUGAAGCGCGGCUCCCGCUUUCCCGCCUGCACGUCAAGGCGCGCGCCCCCCACCGACCAGAUUCGAUCGUUUCCGCCGCUCCUCCGGGGCACCCCCGAUUGGCAGGCCCCGCCUCCUGGCAGACGCCCUCCGAUUGGCCGGCUCGGCCUCCCCCGUCGGACAGGGGCCCUUUGAUUGGCGGACCGUUGCCCCAGCACCAGGGUUCCAGAAGCCUUCGGUCUCCAGCUCUAGGAGAAGCCCCCUAGGUCGCCCCGCCUCAGCUGCGUGGCCCGGGGCAGUCGGCUUCUGGGCCGUUUCCCCACGAGGUAGGUUGGUAACGCAGGGCAAGACGCCGGCGCGGGUGGGGCGGGGGGCGCGGCUGCCCACCCAGCCCAGCCCCACGGGCGCCAGUGGGGGUGCGGGGUGGGGAGUAGCAGUUCCCCUCCCCUACCCCCCACCUCCCCGAGAGCACAAGGUGGACGUCUGGCGCCCCCUGGCGGGCAACCGCCCUGGGGCGGGCGGCUUGGAAAACAGGUGAACGACUCCAGACAACACCCUUUGGGGGUUGGCCCCAAACCUCGCGGGCGGAAGCCUCUUUCUAGCACAGGCCAGAGGCGUGAACCGAGGAAGACACCGUCGAGGAAGGGUUGGGGAAAGACAGGGCAGAUCUCGUGAAGAUAAACUGGGACCCCUGAUAAUCCCCCAUCCCACCCUGAAAUGUAAUAAAGCGCUCGCCAGCCAGCAGCCACGUA
Molecule: long non-coding RNA, 2456 nt
Organism: Canis lupus familiaris (dog)
Lineage: Eukaryota; Metazoa; Chordata; Mammalia; Carnivora; Canidae
Exons: 3
Source: RefSeq, a predicted model, not a curated record